GACGAACGCUGGCGGAGGGAGGAAAAAAGGGAAGUCGAAAGGAAAGGCCCCUUUGGGGGUAGACGAGGGGCGAACGGGUGAGUAACACGUGAGGAACCUGCCCUGGACUUCGGGAUAACUUCAGGAAAAGGGGGCUAAUACCGGAUAGGAAGCCUUGCUGCAUGGUGGGGGUUGGAAAGCUUCGGCGGUUUUGGAUGGACUCGCGGCUUAUCAGCUUGUUGGUGGGGUAGUGGCUUACCAAGGCUUUGACGGGGGGCCGGCCUGAGAGGGCGACCGGCCACAUUGGGACUGAGAUACGGCCCAGACUCCUACGGGAGGCAGCAGUGGGGAAUAUUGCACAAUGGGCGGAAGCCUGAUGCAGCAACGCCGCGUGCGGGAUUCCUUCCUUCGUCUUGUAAACCGCUUUCAGCAGCUGCGCCGCUUGUGGUGACGGUCCCUGCAGACGAAGCCCCCCCUCCCUACGUC
This 465-nucleotide ribosomal RNA is filed under the name uncultured bacterium. RNAcentral describes it as "partial 16S ribosomal RNA". It matches the Rfam family "Bacterial small subunit ribosomal RNA", at positions 28 to 507 of the family's 1533-position model. The record is from RNAcentral.